UUAACGUCAAGUUUCGAAUAUUCUAGAGGAUCAAUGGGACUUGCGAUUUGAUCGGAAAUUCCCAAGUUUGCAGCAAAGCAUUUGGUCAAUCAACUAGUAAAGUAUCGCUUUUAGUCUCAUCGAUUUUGUCAGGUGGAAUUUUUUUAGCGCGGUGGCAAAUUGGGGUUUUGCAUCAGUUUUUAGCAUUAUGUUUGGAAAAUUCUGGAGAAUCAAUGGUACUUGCAAUUUGAUCGAAAACUUCUAGGUUUUUAGAAAGGCAUCUGGUUAAUCAACCCGCAAAGUUUGGCAUUUUUAACUACUCAUCGACUUUGCAAGACAAAUAGCUGGUUAAUCCAGACUUAAAGUUUCGCUUGUUUAUCUCAAGAACUUUGCAAGCGCGAAUUUUUUAGAGGCACAUCGGCAAAAUGGGGCUUUGCAAUACUUUUUAAUGUCAAGUUUGGAACGUCCUAGAAACAUAAUAGACUGUGCGAUUUGACUGAAAAUUUGCACAUGUAUAGACUAGGUUUAAAUUUUUUAACUUUGUCAUUCAAUAUACAAAAAUCGAGUUCUGUACCUUCUCAACUUUGCGAGCAAGUAGAUCGCAAAUCAAGUAGAAGCAGCUGAAAAGUGUUGGAGCAAUGCAAACCAGAUUAGACAACGGAUUGUUAAAUAUUGCCAAUAAUCCAUUGCCUGAAAGAUUUAAUUUAAAUUUGAACGUAGCGGUCAAGACUGUGACCAACGUUAUUGGCAUUCCAUAAAUAAUCGUCCAAUAUUUACAUAGCCGCGUUGAUGUAACUGUUUUAAUUAUAAUGAUUUUAAAACUGGA
Dendroctonus ponderosae (mountain pine beetle) is the source of this 805-nucleotide long non-coding RNA. RefSeq lists it as uncharacterized. NCBI's taxonomy places the organism in Eukaryota, Metazoa, Arthropoda, Insecta, Coleoptera, Curculionidae. The record is from RefSeq and is a predicted model, not a curated record. The transcript is spliced from 3 exons.